UGGGAGUAAGGGCCAGGAAGCAAGAGAAGGCUUCUCCUCCAGAUGGCAGGAGGAGAGAAUCCUGAGCUUUUGUAUUACUGGACCUUAACAGUUCCUAAGCUGAGGAUGGCGGUACAUGUUGGUAAACUGAGGACCACCCACAUGCCAGAACCAUCCUGCCUUCAGUGACUCGGCCCCAGGAGCCACAUCAUCACAAUGUGGGCAUGGGCAGCAUGCACAUUCUCCACAUCCCUUAUAAAACCUGUGCCUUCAUAGUCUUUUCCCUCCGGCUCAAAGAUAGCCUUCUGUGAUACAAUGUGACCCCUUCCAAUAAAUCUCAUAUAUAUCUUG
Molecule: long non-coding RNA, 330 nt
Organism: Apodemus sylvaticus (European woodmouse)
Lineage: Eukaryota; Metazoa; Chordata; Mammalia; Rodentia; Muridae
Exons: 2
Source: RefSeq, a predicted model, not a curated record